RNAcentral lists this long non-coding RNA (4692 nucleotides) under Capsicum annuum. RNAcentral's name for it is "long non-coding RNA (CANN_LNC001949)". Lineage: Eukaryota; Viridiplantae; Streptophyta; Magnoliopsida; Solanales; Solanaceae. The record is from RNAcentral.
UUUAAGUGAACAUAAUUUGAUAUGGCUGAUGAGAUUUAGUCGAAAUCAAGCAAUAUAUGGAUAUUAGUGGCUCAUACCAGUUGUAAUGGAGAUAUUUGGUGGAGUGCGAGCUUCUAAAAUUGUUCAUUGCUACUUGAAUGCGGAUAAUUUUAGCUUCGAUGGGUCUGAGCGUGCUAAGGAUUAUUGUCAGUGUCAUGCUCACAGAGCUUUUUUUUAUGUUAGUUGUACUCUUGAUGGCAUUCUUCGCAUCUCCUCACCUGGCACUAAUGUUUUGGCCUAUUAUAUAGGUGUGCCAUUUGAUAGACAAGGAACAUUGUAGAGAAAGAAUUGGGGGAGAAAGGCAUUAGCACAAACUCUAUUGGCAAUAUUUGUGAGUUGUUUGAAAAUAUGAAAUAAAAUCCUCUGGUUGUUGCCAGUAGAUCUUAUAUGGUUUGAUAUGUGAGACGGCUGUUUAGGUUUGAAUUGAGCCUAGUAAAGAAUGACUCAUAUUUAUUGUCAAGACUUAAUAGUUUUUACUUCAAAUCUGUAUACUUAAGGAUUCACCAUUUUCUUAAACAUUGGCACAGAUAACGGGAAAAACUCUGCGAAUCUAACGCUCUGUUUUUCUUUUACCAUAAUGGAUAAAGAAAAUGGUUUUGUUUAUGUUGUUUAUGAUAUCCAGAGGAAGGAUAAAUUACGACUAAUUCUGCUAAUAUACUUUAAUAUAGUUGUCUGGGGACAAAUAAAUUGAAUGCUUCCUAAAAUAUAUAAUUUAAACUAUAGAGCUUGUUUACAGGGGCGAAAAUGUAGGCGCCAUGAAAUGAUAUCUGAACUUGUUGAUUGUAAGAGAGGCAAUGCUGGUGAUGAUCGUAAUCUGCCAGGGUAAGAAGACGUGUAAGAUAAUGAAGAAGAAUUUUCAUUUUGAAAGUAUCUAGGUUUGAUUAAGUAGGGGUAGUAGGGCUAACAUGGUUGGUUUACGCUUUUGUUGGAGAUUUGUUGGAACAUCCAUCUGUGUUUGUUGCUUUUAAAGAGAACUAAAUUACCCCUAGCUUUAAAAACCCAUAGCCUUACAACAUCAUGCGCUGCUUAAAUUUUCCUAAGAAUUAUCACUUCCAAUACUCUCAUCAGGAAAGAUGCAAGUUGAUGGACACAACUCAACAGACACCAAUCUCUAACAUGCUAUAAAAUCCUUAGCGAAGAAUCGUCACCUCCAACUGUCACAAAUUCGACAGUUUCCAAUAGGUACUAUUUCUUACACCUAAUCCAUACUUACUGCCUUAGAAUAAAACAAAUUUUACACUGUGUUUGUAUUUUUUUUUUGUGCAGAAUGCAAAUGGACAGAUGUUGUCUCAAUCUUCCAAUUAAAUCCAUAACGAAUAGUAGUCGCCUCCAAUGCUCCCAAACUUGUCAAUUACCAAGAGGUAAGCCUUGUUUCACAUCCUUAACCAUACUGCAUAUCGAAUUUAUAUUUAUAAAUUCAAGAUUACAAAUUUACUUUUUUGUCAGCUAAAAUUUCCUCCCCUAUAGGCGAGUUUUAAGUCAAUCUACCAACUCCGUUUUUCUAAUUCUCUUUUUUGUUAUGUUUGGCUAUUUAUAGCUGAAAGAUGAAUGACUCCCGAUGGUUCCUGUUUUUUAUUUUAUUUUAGUCUGUGAUUUCUCACGAAUAGUAUUUUUUUCGUUUGGGUUGUUUAUCAUGUGAUUUCACACGACAAGUUCAAUUUAAAUAAUAUUUCUUAGAUGCGUCAUCUCUUUUUAUUUGACAUUUUGCAAAAAGGGAAUUUUCCCAUCGAGUGUUAAUUUCCACACCUUUCUUGCAAUCUAUGUUGUGUUUCUAUUCUCAAUUUCUCUCUAUCAUGUUGCAACAGCUACUUUUCUUGGCAAUGAAACUGAAACUUGCCUUACUUGGAUUAAAGUCCCAAAUUUCAAAAGCAAAUUUUCCUCCAUAAAUAGGAUGUUCCAAAAUAUACCAGUGCAUCAGAAAUAGAUAUACAUGUGUUAUAGGGCCCUCAACUAGUAUAACAACAUGAAAAGGGGAAAUAAACAUAUACGACCAUCUUUGGCCAUUAUGUGAAGUCAUAUCAUUUUGUACUAUCAUGUGAACUUAUAAACAUGUUUUUCUCUUAUUUGUCGUGUGCAUAUAGUGUGGACUUAGGUAUUUAUAAGCAUAACGCAUAAUUGUUUAGCAAUGAAGUUUGACAUUAUGUAAACACGUGGAACAUAAAUGAGAUGUCGUAUAGAUAUGAAUAGGGCAUACCUUUUGCCGUCCAUCUGGAUUGUGAGAGUUGAAGGCAAGACUCUUCCCUAGCAUGAUGUUGUAGGGCUGGAAACAUUUGAGCAUAAGAGAGAUAAGGAUAUAGGAAGAUAUUAUCAUUUUAAAACCUUCGCGUGACCUAUGGAAUAACCGUGGAUACCUUAACUUUCAAAAUGUCACAUCUAUUUAAUUCCUUCUGUUGCAUCUUAAUGGUUAUAAUCAUUUAGUCCUGAAUGGGGUAGAAGUAAGGAAGCUGGCAUCCGUCCGGACUAUGAACCUUCUGAUUGUUAAAUUGAAUUAAAAAUUCCAGAUCAAGCCUGCAAACAUCUGUUUCCCCAUGAAGUUGUUGCUACCAUACCAGUGAAACAUGUUGGAGAUUUGACGUCCAAAAAUGAAUUCCAAAAUUAACAGUGAAGAACAUGUGUUGAUUCGAAAGUGAUUAUGUUUGGUUAAGAAAUAGUAACACGGCAUACCUUUUUUUGUCCGUCCAGAUUGGGCACCUUCUAAUUGUUAAAUUUAAUUUAAGACUCCAGAUCGAAUUAGGCCACCUGGUCAAUCAUUAGUAUGAUACAUUAUGGCCUGAUAAAUUAAACUGUAAUGGGUCAUGGUCAAAUAAGGGAAUUGAGAAUAAGUUAAUUUCCAAACGAAAGCAAUAAACAACAUAGAAGAGAUAGAACUUUAGCAUGUUUCUGCAUAACCAGAACUGUGCUCUUUAUAAAACAUGUUCGACAAGAUUGCAACCACGGAGGAGACACAGAUGAGACAUAUUCCCGAGCAAUUAUUUUUGUGAAAGCACACAUCCUACGUUUAGUGCUUUAAUGGCAACCGAAAAUCGUAAACACAACGUGAAGUAGAGAAUAAUGGAUUUUAUUAAUUUAAAAAUAAUAAAAAUGGGUGAACAGGAGUAAGAGGUCAUGCCUGUUUGACAAAGAAGUUCAAUAUAAUCUGACUAUGUGAACUGCAAUGGAUAAAAGCCUAGUACUGACAAAGGAAAAAUCAUGUAAUCAAUAUGUGAAGAGAGAUUUACAGACAAUGGAACAAUAACCAUAACUACGUUAAACCGAGUGUGCAACAAGUUUAUGGAAAAUGGAAGAAGAUACAGAAUGUGAAGUACAAUUAUUUUAGUGAAAGCACACAUCGUUUUGGUUAAGGAUGAGUAAUAAGGCUUACCUAUAUAGACUAUCACCUCCUAAUUGUUAAAUUGAAUUAAAGAAUCCAGAUUAAGACUGCGAACAUCUGUUUUUUCCAUGAAGUUGUUUCUACCAUACCAGCAGAACAUGUUGGAGAUUUGUUUAAGCAUGAGUAAUAGGGCAUACCUUUUGGCGCCCGUCCGGGUUGUGAACCUUCUGAUUGUUAAAUUAAAAUAAAGACUCCAUUUCAAGCCUGCAAACAUCUGUUUCCCCCAUAAAGUUGUUGCUACCAUAACAGCGGAACAUGUUGGAGAUUUGGUGUAAAAAAUGAACUCCAAAAUUAAAAGUGAAGAACAUGUUUUGAUUCGAAAGUGAGUAUGUUUGGUUAAGCAGUAGUAACAGGACAUACCUUUUGGUGGCCGUCCGGAUUGGGAACCUCCUGAUUGUUAAAUUGAAUUAAAAACUCAACAUCAAGCCCGAGAACAGUUAUUUCUCCCAUGAACUUGUUGCUAGCAUACUACAGGAACAUGUUAGAGAUUGUACGUAAGUGAGUAUGUUUGGUUAAGCAGAAGUAAUAGGGCGUACCUUUUGGCGUCCCUUCGGAUUGUGAACGUUAAAGGCAAGACUCUUCCCUAGCGUGAUGUCGUAGGGGCUAAAAAGUUGCUUGUUAUGGUUUACGUUGGCAUCCCUGGAGUUUGUGAUUGUUGGAGGUGACCCUUUGUUUGUAGCUUUUAUGUUUUAGGGUAUGUCUAUUUUUAUUUUAUUUUUUUAUUUAAUAUAUAAAGUUGGGUUUUUUUAAGUUGGGGGUAUUUUAGUAAUUUCACUUUAAGUUUUUUGAGUUGGUGCUUUUAAGGUAGUAUAGAUAGAUAUAGAUUAUUAUAUUAAAAUGCUAAGAAUCUUUGAAAAGUGGUUUAAACUUUUACCCUUCAUUAAAAAUCUUUGAAUAAAUAACAUUAUUUAAUUUUAAAUAAUCAAACGUUAAAUGUAUGAUACAUGUGUGGUUAAACUAGUGUGUGUGUAUAUAUACACAUAUCAAUUUUAGGCCACCCUAGAAACAUGGGUAAUGGUGUGCAAAUUCCUGCAGCACAAGCACAACAAAGAAGAAGAUGAAGACAGCACAUCAAUGUCAGAAGAAAUGUAAAUUACAGCUGUAAGAAUAGCCAAAAAGCAAUAAUAGAGAAGAAGACAUAAGUACUUACAGCAAAAUAUUCGUCGGCACAAAGCGACAAAAUAAAAAAGAAGAUUGGACCACUUAGUCUAAAAGCAGCCACAAAAGGAAAAAGGAACCUUAUCCAGGUGAGGGACUAAAAAAGAAAUAGAAGACUUCUGAAG